GGAAGUAAAAGUCGUAACAAGGUUUCCGUAGGUGAACCUGCGGAAGGAUCAUUAGUGAUUGCCUUUAUAGGCUUAUAACUAUAUCCACUUACACCUGUGAACUGUUCUACUACUUGACGCAAGUCGAGUAUUUUUACAAACAAUGUGUAAUGAACGUCGUUUUAUUAUAACAAAAUAAAACUUUCAACAACGGAUCUCUUGGCUCUCGCAUCGAUGAAGAACGCAGCGAAUUGCGAUAAGUAAUGUGAAUUGCAGAAUUCAGUGAAUCAUCGAAUCUUUGAACGCAGCUUGCGCUCUCUGGUAUUCCGGAGAGCAUGCCUGUUUCAGUGUCAUGAAAUCUCAACCACUAGGGUUUCCUAAUGGAUUGGAUUUGGGCGUCUGCGAUUUCUGAUCGCUCGCCUUAAAAGAGUUAGCAAGUUUGACAUUAAUGUCUGGUGUAAUAAGUUUCACUGGGUCCAUUGUGUUGAAGCGUGCUUCUAAUCGUCCGCAAGGACAAUUACUUUGACUCUGGCCUGAAAUCAGGUAGGACUACCCGCUGAACUUAAGCAUAUCAAUAAGCGGAGGA
RNAcentral lists this unclassified non-coding RNA (565 nucleotides) under Trichosporon asahii. Its description in RNAcentral is "partial contains small subunit rRNA, ITS1, 5.8S rRNA, ITS2 and large subunit rRNA". The stretch from base 179 to 332 matches the Rfam family "5.8S ribosomal RNA". Lineage: Eukaryota; Fungi; Basidiomycota; Tremellomycetes; Trichosporonales; Trichosporonaceae. The record is from RNAcentral.